This is a long non-coding RNA of Aquila chrysaetos chrysaetos, 2914 nucleotides long. RefSeq lists it as uncharacterized. Lineage: Eukaryota; Metazoa; Chordata; Aves; Accipitriformes; Accipitridae. The transcript is spliced from 3 exons. The record is from RefSeq and is a predicted model, not a curated record.
GGUGCUCCUUCUGCUGGUGGAGAAACGGAGCCCAUCCUUAUUCCAUUCCCGUAUUACAUACGACAUCUGUCAAAAAUUACUUUUACUGUUUCUGCAACCACUGUGCUCAUGCACCGUUUAUGUCCUGGGUUGCGACCACCUCCGCCACCGCACCGACAUGGCUUGUCCUGCUCACAGCUGGAGAUCUCCGAGGGGGAGGAUGGCAUCCACGAGACAGGGACAGAGCAAAUCCUCAAAAACACAAGCAUCUGUAGCAUUUGUGCUGAAAAUCGAUGUUAGAGCCCUGGCUGUUUCUCGUUUUGCAGCUGUUUCCUCAGCCUGAUGCUGUAGAUUGCAUUGGCAGAACGGAGCUAUGGGUGAUGACAGUGGCCUCUUUUAUACCUGGGGCUGUGGCCGCUGUUGAUGAACCGUCUAUUGAAGCACCAAAAGCAGCUCCUGGAAGAUGAGGCAGCCUCAUUUCCUUUCUCCUUUCCCACUUGUCUCUUCUGGGGUCAAUACUCCAUUUUUGGCUUAUUCCCUUGGGCUCUUUGUCAAGCUCUUUGGGCUGUCUAUAAAUGUAGUGUCUUCAUUAGCAUUUAAUCAGCAGGAUGUAGGGUUGUCUCUGAGCAGCAGCCCACGAAGACGCCCUGCUUCAGACAGGAGGCACCUGCGGUCGGUCGUAUCUGCUGGGGCGGCACACGCUCAUCGGAGCUUUGCACAGAGAGUGGAUGUUCCUGGGGUGAAGAUGAUGGCCUCAACCCAGCUCCUUUCUGCUGCCCAUAAAUCACAUUAGAGUAUAUCAAAGCCAAGCCCUGAACUGUCAGCGCUACCUAGAUAUUUGAUUUGCCAUAGACUUUAUGUGACCCUGGAUUAUAAAUCUCUGGCUUUCAAACACUACCUGCCAUCGUGAGCUGUUGCAGCAGCUAAUUGGCAGCCGCUCAGAGGCUGAUUUUGCUGAGGAGAAGGCACUUCUCCUGGCCGCCCUGAAAUCUGCCGGUCCCUUUCAAAAAAGGUUUGCCCGUGCAAUGAGUGAUGCUGGAUCCGUACCAAAGUCCUGUGGGAUCCAGGCGUGGAUGCGACUCUACACAGCUAAAGAAACGAGCCCGUGUCAAGGAGCGCGUGGAGGGAGAGGAAAGGGCUCGAGCCUUCCUCAUCCCCAGCAAAGCAGAAGGCGGCAGCGUCAUGCAGUAUUUGCAAAGAUGAUCUCUUCAGCCCACCAUCCCCACCAGCGACUGCCAUCACGGAUACCUCCACGUGAGGUGAGGCUGCUGAUGGCAGCUGCCAAGAAAAGACGCCGUUGACCAAAAUUACUCCAGUAACAGGGAAGCACUCGGCAAAGCCCAGCGCUGCGUUUUCCACUGCUCACCUCUCUGCAGCAAAAGCCAGCGGACAGUCUGCGCAGGCAUUGCACCAUGAGUUACAAGUGGCAGAUUAAAAAAAAACAGAGGGGCUGUACUUUGAACACACAAAAAAAUGAGCCUUUUCUCACACGUGCCUUUGCACGGAAUUAGGAGACAAGCAAUGUUAUUGCUUUUGUCCCAGUGGAGCCUGGCACAGCGGGUUUGUCUCAGAUGUUUUUCCUGCCUUUGACUCUCAGCCUGUUCGGUGUGCUUCCACCAGCUCCACACCUCCUCAAGGUGAUUCAGAAAAUGAAACAUGACAAAACAAAACUCAUUUUAAUAGCUUGUCUUGGCCAAGGCCAACUAGGAAUACAGCUGUGUUAUUAUCAUGAGCUGGAAUGCAAAGCUAUUUACUUCAUUAGCAGGAAUGACAACAAAAUAGCAGCCCAUGGUGCUGGCAACGGUAGAGCCAGAACUAAAAUAUUGCAUUCAAAAUAGAAAAAGACCUGGAAUAAACUCCUUAUUGUGGCUGUAAAAUAAUUUUUCUUGGACAAAAUAGGCUCAGAAACUUCCAAUGGCAUGUGACAGGCUCCUUGAAAAGCGGGUUUUAUCCAACGUCUGACUGUGCAAACCUCUGACAACCUGAGGAGAUGCCUCCAGACGAGAGCCAGGGCUGAACACUGGCACUUCACUGACAAGUGAAUGCUUAAAGGCUGGAGACUGAAGGAGGAGCUAAAACUAUUAACCAAAGAGGUUUUAUACUGACUACAGUUCUGAGACCAGCACUGAAUUUGUGUUUCCAUUCCCAGCCAUUGACAAAGCAGACCUGAAGAGCUGCAGGGGGAGUAGAGUAAGAGUAGGCUGAAUUCCUUAUCAUGGAACUAACAUCACUAGGUUGGGUUUUGGUUUGUUUGGUUGGCUUUUUUUAUUAAAAGGCUCUCCAUACAAUUUUGAGAAGUCUUUUCACUGAUUAUGGAUAACUUAUUUCAAGGAGGAGAUUCCAUUCCCCAGCUGGACCUGGAGCAGCUCCCCCCAGCAACGUGGACGUGGAGGGCUUGCCUUGCCUUGAGAGAACAGUCCAUCAGAAGUACAAAACAUGAGGAUAAAAAGCAGAAAGAUCUGCAGUAAAACUGCUUAUCUUUGAAAGAGGAGCAGAGUGUCUAUCUGGUUGUACCAAUAUGAUGUCCUUCGGUUUGGUUCCAGAUUUUCAGUCUAUCUUGGACUAUCUUUUGCUUCUUAAGCAGAUCAAGCUGUCCCUAAAUCCCCCAUGAACAUACCUGAAAGCAACACGUUGUGUACCUCGAGCAUCUAAAAUGUCAUCUUCUUCCUCCUCGGUCCAUUGGAGAAAUCUCUUAAAACAGCCCUUCCAACAGCCUUCCGAGUGAGGAACCCAUCCCCUCACGGGAUUUUGAUUUUCUCUCCACGUGCUGGACACUCAGCCCACCCGCCCUGCUCCGCACCUCCCCGUUUCCCCAGCUCGCUUCCCACGCUCUUGCAGAUGGUGAGCACCGAAGAUCUCCAACAGCUUUAGGGACCGGCACGGAGAGCAUCCCAACGGGCACCACGGUGUGCCAGGCUGUGCCACCAACCCUCCG